AAAUAGGCAAGCUAUCAUGAUACAUGAUUCUCUGGUCUUUUAAGAUAUUUCCUUUGGUACAUUACAAGAGUUUCAAGAAAGACUUAUGUAACAAUAAUGUGACUUUAUGAAGAGUAAGCAUGUGCCACACUGUUGCUCCUGAUAUUUGGCUGGUGUGCUAUAUUCUUUUCAUUAGGGGAAGCUCUUAAAAAUGAAUGGGGUUGAACUGGUCUCCUGUCCUUCAUGGCGCCCCCAAGAAGGGCAGCAAGGGUCCAGGACAGAGCAUCCUCCUGGGCAAACAGCCAGGGUCCUCAAGCAGGGAGUUCAACACAGCUUGCCCUUGUGAGUGUGGCUUGGGGCCACAGUGAUCACAACACAUAUUUCCAGUUUGAUUUUUCCAACAAGAGCAGUCACAUUCUCCUUUAAACAGAGACAUGCUUUUCCAUAAUCUUAACCUCACACACUCUCCCAGCUCCAUAUACAGAAGCAGUUACCCUUUAGAGCACCUGAGGUCAGGGCUAACUUCUGGGAGUUCUCACAGGUUUGGGUCAUCACACCUGGUCAGCCAUCCCGUACAGAAAACCACACUGAACCUGCCUUCCCUCAUCCUACCCUCCGUACAGCCUGCUCCCCACACACCCACCCCCAACAACAAACCCUAAACACACAAGAUCUUGAGCAAAAUGACAUUAAGGUAGUAAUUUAUAUUUAUAAUACACAUGGUAGGCACUCAAUAAUGGAGAAAGAAAAAUAAGAGAAGAUGCAGAAAAAUACUU
Molecule: long non-coding RNA, 755 nt
Filed under: Bos taurus (domestic cattle)
Lineage: Eukaryota; Metazoa; Chordata; Mammalia; Artiodactyla; Bovidae
Description: long non-coding RNA NONBTAT015090
Source: RNAcentral